CCCGCUGAAUUUAAGCAUAUCACUAAGCGGAGGAAAAGAAACUAACCAGGAUUCCCCUAGUAACGGCGAGUGAAGAGGGAAAAGCCCAGCACCGAAGCCUGCGGCAGUUUUGCCGUUAGGCAAUGUGGUGUUUCGGUCGGCUCGCGGGACCGCCACUCCAUUCGAAGUCCAGCAUUGAGUAUGGUAACCUGGAUUUGGCCCAGAGAGGGUGAAAGGCCCGUGCGAAUGGAAGUCACAUACAUGUGAGGCGGUUCAUCAGGUCGACCUUCGAGUCGGGUUGUUUGAGAAUGCAGCCCUAAGUGGGUGGUAAACUCCAUCCAAGGCUAAAUACAGACACGAGUCCGAUAGCGAACAAGUACCGUGAGGGAAAGUUGAAAAGUACUCUGAAGAGAGAGUAAACAGUACGUGAAGCCGUAUGGAGGUAAACGGGUGGCGUCAAGCUGCAAGCCCAGAGGAUUCAGUUGGUCACUGUGUGUGUAUGCCUGUGUACUUCAGUCGGUUAUAGCUUGGACAGUCCACCGGUAAACGGAGGGCCCGGCCGUCAGGCUGGGAUGUACGUUCCACCAGGUUGGUGGUGUACGCUGUUCGACUAAUGGACUGGGUGGCCAAUGCACUUCCUCUGAUAUGGUGAACACCACGAUCGGUGGUACUGCCAGUCUGGUGUGGCCAAGUUGCGCCUAGUUUGGCACCUGUGUCGACUGCGCGUGAUCACAGGCAGGUUUGGUGGACGGUGGGCUUGCCCAUGUUAUCGGUCACCGCUUGUCAACGGGUCUGCUUGUUGUGGUUACACUCCACAUGCAGGUGGCCUGGUGGGCUACACUGGUAUGAAUAACUGUGCAGGGCACCGGUGUUAGCGGUCUCAAAUCCGGACGGCGCGCAAAGUGUAAUUGUUGGUGGAAAGGUGCGUGGUCGCGGCCUGCCGGUGGUCGGGUCUGAUCGUCGUGUUGCCUACGCAAAGUGGGUUCGGCGGUGGCCUGCUGCCGGUCGGAGUCGUGGGUCGCGUUCCUGGCGUCGCCUGGUGUGGAUCGUACAAUCCGUGGUGUAGUGGUAGACGAGCUACCCGACCCGUCUUGAAACACGGACCAAGGAGUUCAACGUGCACGCGAGUCAAUGGGCGUAACGAAACCCAAAGGCGCAGUGAAAGUGAAGCUUGGACUUGUUCUCCAAGUUUGGUGAGAUCCGGCUGUUUCUCGCAUCUGCACUUGUGUGUCAGCACAGUGUAAAGAGCGGUCGGCGCAUCACCGGCCCGUCCCAUGAUGUGGCCAUUGGUUGGUUGUGGCUGUGGCUUCGGUUGCAGUCAUGGCUCCAGUGCGUCAUCGGGGCGGAGCAUGAGCGUGCAUGUUGAGACCCGAAAGAUGGUGAACUAUGCUUGCGUAGGUUGAAGCCAGAGGAAACUCUGGUGGAGGACCGCAGCGAUUCUGACGUGCAAAUCGAUCGUCAAACGCGAGUAUA
This 1452-nucleotide ribosomal RNA is filed under the name Prochristianella clarkeae. Its description in RNAcentral is "eukaryotic LSU rRNA". It matches the Rfam family "Eukaryotic large subunit ribosomal RNA", at positions 24 to 919 of the family's 3401-position model. Lineage: Eukaryota; Metazoa; Platyhelminthes; Cestoda; Trypanorhyncha; Eutetrarhynchidae. The record is from RNAcentral.